CCUACGGGUGGCUGCAGUGAGGAAUAUUGGUCAAUGGCCGGAAGGCUGAACCAGCCAAGCCGCGUGAAGGACGAAUGUGCCAAGCAUUGUAAACCUCUUUUGUCAGGGGAGAAAAUCAGGCUCGAGAGCCUGACCGAGGGUACCUGAAGAAUAAGCAUCGGCUAACUCCGUGCCAGCAGCCGCGGUAAUACGGAGGAUGCGAGCGUUAUCCGGAUUUAUUGGGUUUAAAGGGUGCGUAGGCGGACUUUUAAGUCAGCGGUAAAAGCCCGGGGCUCAACCCCGGCGAGCCGUUGAUACUGGCUGUCUUGAGAUGUCGAGAGGUAUGCGGAAGGAGCAGUGUAGCGGUGAAAUGCUUAGAUAUUGCGCAGAACUCCGAUUGCGAAGGCAGCAUACCGGCGGCGAUCUGACGCUGAGGCACGAGAGCGUGGGUAUCGAACAGGAUUAGAUACCCGGGUAGUC
RNAcentral lists this ribosomal RNA (459 nucleotides) under uncultured bacterium. Its description in RNAcentral is "partial 16S ribosomal RNA". It matches the Rfam family "Bacterial small subunit ribosomal RNA", at positions 338 to 795 of the family's 1533-position model. The record is from RNAcentral.